Anas platyrhynchos (mallard) is the source of this 11776-nucleotide non-coding RNA. NCBI's taxonomy places the organism in Eukaryota, Metazoa, Chordata, Aves, Anseriformes, Anatidae. The record is from RefSeq and is a predicted model, not a curated record.
AGAGCUAACCCAGCAAAACACCAGCAGAGAAUCUAGGCCUCAGCUCUUUGUAUUACACACAUAAAAAGAUAAAAUCUCUGGGUAAAAAGCUGUAGAGUCUAAUGGUGGCUGCUGAAAAACAUGAGUAAUGCUUCACUAUUAAUUGUCAAGUAGUUUAUUUAAAAUGCUAGAUAUACAUUUGAUAAGUCUUCAGUGACUGCUUUAAAAGUAAACAGUAUCAGCUGUGGACCACCCGUUUAGAAAAAGUUGACUGAAAUUGUUAAAGAACAGGCACUAUAAAAAUUACAAUGUUUAUUGUUGCUAGCCGAACUAGACAUAUUUAACAUGGUUUUCUAGGCCUGUUGUAGUAGGUAUGACUUGGUUGCUUUUCCUGCUGACUGUAGUAGGCUUCUAGGAAGCUUAAAUUGCUUUAGCUUAGUUUGCUAGCCUAUUAAUGCAAAUCUAGCUCAUUUAAAGAAAAACUAAACAACAUCAUAUAUGUCUGCAUCUGGGAUUUGCAGCAGUUUAUCUAUCAGAUAGCAAUACACAAAGUUAAUCCCGUCUGAAGGAGGUGCCAGAACAUCAAUAAAUAAAAAUUACAAAUUGCCUAACGGUUCAGCUGACAGGCAGAACUGGUUUCCGUGUGGUGUUCCCAAUGUUCUGCAGCAGAGCUGGGCUGGGGGUAGACCCUUACGACGUUCCUCUGUAGACAGGACCUUUAAGAGCAAGCAUCAGCACUACAUAAUACUGUAGGAGAGGAAGUAGAGAACAAUGCUGUGUCCAACGGAAGCUGUGGCAAGAAUUUAUUCAAGGCGCAUUGUAAUUACUCAAGCUGGGAAUUUGGCCAGGACAUUGGGGUUAACACCCCUACUUCUUCAGAAGUGUCAUAGUUUAUUUUUUUUAAUGACUUUAAGUGAUGAGAAGCUUGGCUUUCUGUCUCAGCAGAAUGACAACACCUCUAGCAGUAUAAACUUCUUACAACACGAAGGUGCUGGUGCAGUAGUAACUCAGUGGAGUGAUGGGGCCUACUUCAGUAAUCAUUGCUAUAUAAAUACUAUCAGUAGAUAAGGAACGAUAAGAGUGUGAUUAGGGCAGUUUCAGCCACUGUAAUCACAGGCAUACCUUCCUUAGUCUUCAGUCCACACGCUGCUUUAGUCUGACCUUUUUUUAAGCAAACAAAUAUAAAUUGCAGAAUAAAUCAUGGAACCUGAAUUAAUGAAAUUUAGUUAUUAAUUAUAACUGUGGUUAUGAACUGCAUUUGUCACUGCUUCUGUUCUAGGGAACUUGUCAAGUAAGUGAAUGUAAUUGAUCCAAUUUUUUUAGAUUCUUUCAAGAAGCUAUUACGAAUCUGUUAUAUACUGAUUUAGAAACCAACUUUCACCUUGUUCUCUGCUUGUAAAGAUAAGUGGUUGUGUGUUUUAGUGUGUUGCUCGUUAUGAAAUGCACAAGUGAGGGAUUGUUUUGCUUUUACUAGCUCAUGAAACAUGACAUCAUUCCUAUAGCGUAGUUUAGGCCAUUAUUAUGGGUUACGAGGUUAUACAGGAAAAACAUGUUCUGGAGGAAGGUUGGUCAAAAAGAAGCGAGGUAGUCUUACAGAUUGUUACGAUCCGGUUUUGUAUCACCGGGUUAAAUAGCUCAGUACAUUCACUGGGAUGAAGAUACCACGUCAGGCAGUAUCCUUCUGACAGUUUGUUAGGCCAUAAUGACAAAAAUGAGGCAAUACUGACACUAUUACAUAACCCCAUUUGUAUUACACAAAACCAAUACUGCUUCACUCUUCUCCUGCUUUCUGUUAGACAAACAGAAUUGUUCUUUGCUGUGCACUUAUCCCUGUCCCGUGAGUCAAGGGAGUUGAGGUGUCCAUUAAGAAGUGGGGAAACAGAGGCACAAGUACUUACUACUGUCACAGGGGAAAUCAAUGUCAGGCAUAAACAGAAUCUCAGCCUGCUGACUGUCCCACUCUACCCUCUGGGCAGCCAGGCAAAAGUGGAAAAGUGGCUUGCUUGCAGUGUGACUCAGCAGCUCUUCCUUCCUCAGCAAUUGGCAAGCUGGGCAACUACAAAUAAUUGCCUGUAUGUCAUUUGCACCUGUGUCAGGUUACCAAGAAACUCCAGGUAGGCUUAUCUUCUGUUGGGGAAGGGUUCUGGAUGGACCUCUGCAAUGAUUUAGUUUCAGGACUUAUAAAAUGUGUUCAGGACUCUUUCUCUGGGCUAAAACUGCACGACGGUUUUUCUGAAAGUUAAUUGUAUAUCAGGAGGAUUUGAUUUGCCCAAAUAACAUCAAGUUUAGUCACUUUGGCCUGUUCCACACAGUGCCCCCACAGGAAAAAGUGAGAAUUGCUUUGAGUUAAAGGCACACAUUCAAUUUCUGUAGCCAGCUGAUGACCCAGCAUUGUUGGCUGUGUCCACAUCUCUUUACCAGGUACAGGGUGAGGCCUUUUAUCUUCUGAGAAGCACUGAUAUGCUUGUGCUUCUCUGUAUCAUGUACCUGUGUGCUGUGUUGGUGGGUGCCUAUAAUUGCCCUGUUUUGAAACACUCAUGCUAGGAAGUACUUCCAGAAUACCAGUACAGCUUUACUGUGAUUGACAGAGCCCACGAGAUGCGUUGGACUUGAAUAAAUCUGAUCAGAUGCUUAAAGAUAAGUAGGGUUUUGGGGCAUGUCUUAAACGCAGUUGAAGAUAAUAAUAUUCCUGUCUCACUUUUAAAAGCAAAAUCAAAAUGUUUUGGUCCUAAAGACUUUUUAAUGGCUGUUUUUUUUUUUUUUUUUUUUUUUUUUUUUUUUUUAAAAAAAAAAAAAGUAUAAGGAGAGUCUGUUCAGGUCCUUUUCCCAACAGCAAGGCUGGAAGGGGUGUUACUCUGGGAUUAUUUCAAGGUGGCUGGGAUGGGCUGUAAGCCUCACUACUAUGGAGUCCUUGACCUUGAAGAGUGAUUGAAAGCAGCAGCACAGGAGGAGAUUCUGUCCUGUUUCUGGUUUGGAUGGGUAUGAAGAGGCCUUUGGCAGAGAAGGGUGAAAGGUGACUAAUAAUGUGAAACUAGGAAGAAACUCAUUAUAGUUACGCAAUCUACAGGUGGUUGUCUUUCCCUGUAAAAUACAUCUUGUGUUAGUUGUCCCACUGGCGGCUGCUGCUCACGCUGUCCUCUGAAGAGAAGUGUUUAACAAUUCUUUCCUUUAGGUGGGAAGUUUUAAGUUAGCAUCAUAGCAAGGAGACCAUAGCACCGCAUUAUUUCUUUCUUCUCCCUCUCUACAAUGUCUUCUAGAUUUAGUUUGCCCUUUAUGUUAGGGCAAAUCCUACGCUGGGCUUUGUGCUGGAGUGGCUGCUGUACAGGCAGGCAUUUACACCCCCUGACCCUGGUACAGGGCAGUAUCCUCCAGAAGAGCAGCUUGCUGGAGGUGAUUUAAACUGCUGGAGCAAAUGUGUGUGGAGCUUUCCCAGGAGAACCCUUACAUUCCUAAUUAGCAUGCCUGUUUUUCCAGUGAAAUGCACUGAAUGGCUCCCCCAUUGACCUGAUCUGGACCUUGAUCUUCCAUUUUACAAGUAAAACAACAAAUUAGGUGUUGCUGUAAAGGUACUCCCAGGAACUGAUUCUCCUCUCCUCAUCAUCUGUAAAACAGUUGCAAAAAUACGGCCCUGUACCUCCCCAAUUCUGCAUUCACUCAUCUCCGAGAUACCGUGUUUCAGUCUGAAAUAAGAUUCUAGACCAGAAAAAGGGUUAGACUGCAUACAGAUUAACAAAUCUGUUGCUAGUAUCUCUGGCUACUGCAGCAUGACUCACCCAUCAGUGCUUGUCAGUGUCUGGUGUGACCUCAUUGAAAGCUUCAACAUCUUAUAUGUGAAGGUAGGUUGUAAUCCAGUGUGGGAAUCCUAAAGAGGUGGAGAGACUGUGGAAAUGCAUACAUCACGAACAUUCUCCUUAGAAAUCAGAUCUGCCCUCACCAGAAAUUACCAUUAAAAACCUUGCAUAUUCCUGAGGAUCUUUAAAUGUGAAGGCUGCCUUUCCUGUGCCUCUAUUAAAAAGCACCUGUAACUGUUCAAGACAGAAAUUAGUGCUGAUGGGGAAAUGUAAGGGUAGCUGGGACAGGGAGGAGAUGCUCCUUUAUUUGCAAGGGUGAGCUGAUGGUUCCUUUUUGUUUGCUGUGGCUUCUACUUAACUCCUUAUUUUUUUCUGUGUCAGUACUUAGGGUUUCCAGCAGGCUGGUUGAGGAGACAGGGGCUGUUACACACUAGCAGAUACUAGCAAUGCUCCUCAGUCUACACGGAGCCAGCUGCUGGCAUUUGGAUUGCAGAACCCACAUCUAGUAACAGACACAGCAGAAGCUAUCGUCCUCUUGCCUGCUGCAAAGGGGACUUUCGGUCUCUAAAAGCACAAGGCUGAUGCUGUCCCACAGCUCUGCUGCCACCUGAGCGUCUGGCUGAAAGCAAAGUCCCUGGUCCGGUUGUUGUCCUUCAUGCACGUCAGAAAGAUGCUCUGCUUUAAAGCUGUGCUGUCCUGGCAACGCUAAGGGAUCUUCCACUUCAGGAGUGCCACGGAGCUGCUUUGUCACAAACUGGUGGAUGGUGGUAUUAUUUCUGCAUUCCUUAAAUUUCUUUCUUGAGACUGGGAACAUGGAUUCUCUUGGCAAAGAUUGUGUUCUGGGAGGAUUUGUUUCACGUUAUGGUACUUCUUUAAGGAAGGCGUAGAAGGAUUUGGAGUUGAUGCAUGCAUGGGAUUUGUAGGGAAGAAAUCAGCAACCUUAUGCCUUUGGACCCGUGAUUCCUUACCACCAGGAUCAGCCAGGUACUACAGCUGCCUGCCCAGCUGCUUUGUGAUUCUAGAGUGAAAUAAGUUGAUGUCUCUGCCCACUUCCUAGUGCCAAGAUGUGUGUGCACUACAAAAUACAGCUAGUCCUAGAAAUGAAUCUAUUUGCUGUUCUUUGCACAGAGGCCAAAGGCUGAAUGAUGUUUUGAGGCUGAGUGUUCCUUCCCUGGAUGAUCCGAUGGACACGCAGCAUGAUUUACUUGUGGGCAGGAGAUGGAGAGCCCAUAGCAAUGUUGUCCAUGCUGUAUGCACCCACGGGCGUGUUGGUUUAACUGAUUGGUUCAGUAUUUGUUGUUCUAUUGCUUGAUUCACUUAUUGAUUACUUUUUCUUUGUUCUUGGAAGACGUUUCUUUCACAUAUUAAAGCGUACCCAGGGUUCCAGCAGCCUCCUGUUCUUCCCUCAAGCUCAAACCUCGUUGCUGCUCCCUGUGUGCCGUUGGAAAUGGGCAGGCACCAUUUGUGGCUGCCUGAAUAUCCUGAGUCACAGAUUACCAGCUGGCAUCCGUGCUGCAGUUUCAUUUCUUCCUUUACGACUGCACUCCCUAGAGGAGGCUUGAACAAUUGCAGUUGUCAGCUAGAGCGCAUUGUGUGCUCCUGCCUGAGUCGCACAAUUGGUGGACAACCUCUGACUACGUCUGUGGGGUGAGCCGCCUGUGAUUUGUUACUGUACAUCUGGUGUUUCCAUGCCAGAAAAUGGAACAGGUGUAGCAAUAUUCUAACUGCGUUUGCAUUAUAUUUACCAGCCAAAUACCUGCGUUGCGAAGAUGGCAAUCUGAUGUCUUCAUUAAAUAAUUGCUGGAGACAGGUGAUGAUUCUGGUAAUGCUCUAAAAGGAAGAUAAAUUGCGUGCGAAUGAAUGAAGUAUUAAGGACGUAGACAGGUGAUGAAAGGCAAACUGGUAACUCCCUACCCUGGCACAGCUCUGCUAGCAGUAACACGGGCACACCGUGCAGGUUAUUGGUUCUGUGUCACGCUGUGUUUGUUAUCCUGCCUGUGCAGCGUCCCAAAGCAAGGCUGCUGAAGCUCAGCAGGGAAAGAAUGCAACAUGUAACUGUGUUAUUCCAUCUCACACCAGUGUUUUCACUAGGUAAUGCUUACUGCUAGUCUUGUGCAUAGCUCUGGGGGAAGCUGAAACACAGAACACUUCACUGAGCCUUCUGAUCCAACAGGCCUUGACAUAUUGUUGCUGGACACAUCUGUGUCUGAACUGAGCUGCAGCUCCGUUGUGUCCUGAAAAAAAUAACAAUAUAUUAAACUUUAUUAUUCUGUCUGCGCCUUUGCCACAUAUUGACCAAAAAGUCAAUUUCUUACUAAACUAGUUUUAAUUUACAUGCUGUAAAAUUUUAUUAGUUAAUGGUCAGCUGAUAGGAGCAGGCUGUGGGUUGUGGUGUGAGAACAGAACUCUUGAGGAGAAUCUAGAAGACAGGGAGGGGGAAUGCAAGAUGGACCUUGAAGUCUGAGUUGAGGGCAUUCUGGUUCCUCUUCACUACAUGACGGGCUUGCACCAAGCGGGACAGUGAUAUUAACAGUCCUGCAUCUAUCUGGAGUGUCCUGGGAAGACACACACCACAGCUGAAGACAGCAGCAGUCCUAAGAGGGGUUUUCUGGGGAGGGAUGGCUGUCAGAUGUUUAAUAACUUGUGUAUAUGGUUACUCACUUGCUCCUCCUUUGUAUGUCUGACUCACCCAUCCCUGUCUGAACGCAGCAGUUCAGUAUUCUCUUUUAUCUCCCUUCAUUUAUCUCACACUUCCCAUCCUUCAAGCUUCCUUUUGUAUCUAGGGAUUUAAUUCUGUUAAAUCCAGUUGCUUUGGCCUCUGUUCUUGCCUGUGCUUUGCACCUGCCACGUAGCCCCAGCAAACUUGGCAAGCAAGCCUUAGGCACUGGAGAAAAAACAACUGUCUGGACCAGGCACCUCCUGCCUGGUGUCCUGGAUGUACCCCGAGCUCCUCGGCACCGUCUGCGGUCAGAACAGCGUGUUGCUGCGUGAGUGGUUCCUCCCUGGCCUCCCUUCUGCCCCCACAGAAUUACACGCACCCAACUUCUCAGCAGACACCAGCCUAAUGUUUAUUGAUCUCUCGCAGAGGUCUGAUGCAAAAGAUGGAUAAAAUCUCCUCGGGUGCCUUUGCGGGCUCCUAAUUGCACCGUUCGCCUCCUGGUGAGUAAGGCAAAUGGGAGCGAGGGAGCCCGCAGAAUGAAGAGCACCUUCUGCAGACCUACAGGCUGGAGGACAACGACGUGAAGACCCUGCAGAGCCUCUGGUUUCAUGCCUGGUGAUUUUUACCGUGCCGAAAAGGGAGGAAGGAGGUGACAGAACUGUGAAAAAUCGAGGCCGGGUCAUUCCUGCCAGAGGAGGACAGAGUCCUGCAGCCAGUCAGAUGUGACGGACCGCGCCUGCUGCUGCUGCUACCGGGAAGCUGGAGAGAAAUGCGACUGAACGGUAGCAGUGCGCAUGUGCCUCUGGAGAAAGGAGGCUAUCUGGCUGUCUUCGCACUGAGCUGUCACUGCAGCAGCAGCUAUGUGAGAUGGAGGACAGGUCCUCGGAUUUGCUUCGAGUCUGUGAAAUUGGAGCAAGCAAUCCAUAUUUUAUGCCAGAGGAUAUGUUUAUGCUCUACUCUAACAGCUCUUGAAAGCAGGUAUUUGCUACGGAGAUGCUGGAGCCAUCUGAACCAUCACAGCAGCAACGUUUCAGAUAAUGGGUGUUGGCAGUACUGUUUUGCCUGUACAGUGUGUUUACUGCGGGCCUGGUGAGGGAUACUUACAGAGCCCCUCUCGUCCGCUAGCUAGCCAGAAACAACAGAAAAGCCUGCUACAGGAUUGCUGUGGCUGUAAUUUGCAGUGUGCUACACGGUGCCCUGCAUUCACCACCCAUCUAGGUAUUAAACAAGUCCCCAUGCCUCCAGGGGUAAAAUGUUUUCCAGUGACACGUGAGUGCUUUGCUUGGCAGCCUGGUCUGGCACGUCACAGUUCUGAUGGGCUUCUCCCAGGCUUUGCAGCGUGGAGCUAAUACAUCAAAUACAGAUACUGCAAUAUAUCGCCCUUUGUCUUGCUGCCCCCAUAUCUGGGCUCAUCGGGACAUUUCCAGCAUCGCUUCCAGCACACCCAGCUCUGCAGUGCCUGCGUGUUGCACUCUACAUUCUUCUACUCCAGCACUAGGUGUCCCCAAGGCGCACGAAGGACUUUAUUUUUUUUUUUCAGUGUAAUCUAAGGGCAUGAACUCAGACAAGGAACUUCUCGAAAGCAGGUUCCAGCUGACAGAAAAGAGCUGAGGGGGGAUUCAGAGGUCUUCACCCUAACUCGCUCUCCUAGGCAGAGCUCCUCAGGAGCUGGCGUUGAGCUCCGCCGUGAAGAUUUAUUUUCACCUGCUUAGGAACACGAGAGAGCAGUGGAGAGAGAACUUGUGUUGCCAGCUUGUUUCUGCAUCGCUGUGGGAGCUGAAGCACCUCACCUUCCCGGUCAUUAUCCAGACCUUUAGCACAGUCAUUUCCGAGCGCUCGCUGCAGUACAGCUCUCACCGCAGCCUGCCGCUCCUUACCUUCAGCCAGAGUUGCUCCCUGGCCUGCCCUGCCCAGCUUGCAAAUGUGGCUCGUCAGCCUCUGCUUCUUUGCAAAUGAGUUGCGUAGGUACUGGGAGGAGGAGGCAGCUCAGCAGCCUGCCCAUCCCAUCCAGGUCCAGUCCCAAAGGCUCCUCGCUGCUUUCUGAAGUCCUUUGCCACAUGAAACGUGUGGGCAUCAAACUUUUGUUUCCCUAAAUGCUCAGCCUUUUGCAAACAGGAGGUCAUUUCCUGGGGGGAAGACAAGCUGUUGACGUGGUGGGCAGUCAGCUUGGAUCAGACCCAGAGCUGAUUAGCUUGGGCACAGCGGUGUGCUAACGCAGGCAGAACGCACCCAGCCCGGCUCCCAGCUAGGUGGCAGGGAUCUCCCCACGCUGCUCCCCGCUGUCCCCACGCAGCGUGAGCUUGGGUCCCUGUCCUCGCCUGUGCUGGCAUGCCUGCAGCAAACCACAAUCUGCACCCAGCGCUGCUCGCCUGCAUCUGUGAUGUGUCUCCUAAUGCAAACAGUGAUUUUUGCCUGUCUGCACUGAGUCAGCUCUGCUGAAGGCAGGAAUCGAACUAACCCCAGCCAGCGAAGGCUACAGUCUUAGCCCUGUGAGUCAGCAUUUCGAGAGCUUGGACGCUUUUAUAGCAGCAGUCGGUGAGAUGGUACCAGGUGUGUGGAGGGGUCAAAGUCUACCGCGAGCAGUGACUGACACAAUCCCCAGCCGAAGUCAGGCAGGGCCUCCUGUGCUCUCAGGUCCCAGAAGAGCAACCUGCUGACCGCAGGACGGCUUUUGCAGGAGCACCUUGGGAAGCUUGUGCUGAUUUCUGUGGUCCCUGUGAUGAUCCUAGGGUGUAGGAGGAGAUCAGAACUGUCUGAAACCCCAGAACCAGGAUUCUUGGAAAUCCAGGACAAGUAACAGUAAGAGGCCUGGCUGAGGCUGACCACUAGCCUGCCUCUCGUGCUCCCUUUAUACGUGUCCAGGAAGCAGCCUCCAGUUUAUACGAUUGCACUCUAGUAAACAAUUUUUCAUGCAGAUAUGGGCAGCAGAUGUUACUCAUGCCUGUGUGAACACUUCAAUGUGUUUACAACAGGGGACAUUCCUCAGAUCCAGCCCUAUUAAACAAUGGAUGUAGCCACCAGAAUGAAGUCCCACUGGUUAAAGCCCUUCUGUUACAGCUUGCUCCGAACACUUUGAAGGGUGGUCACACCAUCCUCGGGCGCUCGAGGGGAUUGACUCAACAAAUAUGAGCAAAAUAAAAUUAGCUGGCUGAAGCGGCUGCAGCCCCAGCUGUGUCCCCACUGCCCAAUUCCCAGAAGGGGUCAUCCCUGCUGCAGGGCUGGCUCUGCAAGGCUGGAGCUGGAAGUCUCUGGAGCUGCAGCCCAUUCUUAAGGGCAUUAAUGUUUGUCUGGCUCCCCAGUGAAACAGGCCAGGAAGUUUAACCAGAAGAAAAAUGUACACUUCUUCAUCUGAGGAAUUCUGUUUGUUUAAUUUCUCAGAUGGCCUCACCCAGGAUCAGAGAAGCUCCAGUGCUGCUUCACGGGCAGGGCAGAGGCAGGCAGGCAGAGGGAGGGAUGACCUUCCCUUCUGGGAGCAGCUAACCAUUACAUGAGGUUUGCUGUCUCACAAAAUUAUGCCCUAUGGAUAUUUUGGGUGCUGGGCUGCCUUAAUUUUCUUGAAAGAUUAACAGUGUGUGCUUAUGGCAUUUGUAAGUUGUGGUUUUUUUUUUUUUUUUCUUUCAUUUUAAAUCUACUUCAGCAUGUGUUAUUAUGUAGAAAUGUGUAAAUUAUUAGGGAUAGGAAAGAUAAGUGUCCGCAGUGUCCAUUCCUACAAUUCUGCUAAGGACUAAAUGUUUUUUUUGUUGUUGCCUUUUAAGACCUCGAAGCCACAGCUUGCUAUCAAACUGUCUCUAGAGGGUGAAGUCUUUAAAGAGACUGUAUAUAAAUAAUAUACACAGUAAAGUACAAAAAUGGAGUCAAGGAAAGGCCCCCCUACCUGGAUGCAAUUGUCAAUGGCAGUGUUCUGAGCUCGGUGAGGACAGCCGUACCCCUGGUCAAGCAGAAGCUGCAAGGAGCACUGUCACCCCCAUGAUCCAUCCUAAAUAACCUCUACUUCUAGAUCUGAGUCUUCCUCCAGCAUUUAAAUAUCAGCUGGUGACUUGUGACCAUAUUGUACUGAUUGAAAUGGUAUUGUUAUAAACAUAACUGGAACUAUCCUCUCUUUUACUUUGUUAGGUUGGGUGUAUUAGAAUAUAGGGCUCUUGGCAAGUUUGGAUCCUUGCUAGAAACGAAAACAUUAUGGCAAAAAAAGGUAGGUAAAUGCUGAACAUGCUUUGUAUAAGAGUCCUUCUCAGUAUCUGUGCAUACAGUAAUUUUGAUGUUUCCCAGUUUUGAGCUUUAAACAGGAGACACUUCGUGGAUGAAUUUCAUAGUUUCAAGGUUUCAACUUACCCUAAACAUUUAAUGAAAAUUAAAUGCAGUGCCUUAAAGAGGGUUGCCUGUGAGAGGAAAUCAUUUAUUCUUAGGAAAUCAUUGGAGUAGCUUCUAAGCUUAACUGCGUCUUCAUAUGAAUUAAAAAAUCACCUCAGGUCUGUCCAGGAAAACUUUCUCAUGAGCUCUGUAGCAGUUGAUUCAUUCCUUGCUGCCUUCAUUUUGCAGCGUUAAAUGGCAGGCUCUCUGAAAAGCCAUACACUUCAAAGCUUUAUAAAAUAGCCUUCUGAGUUCGAGCUAGAAAUUAUGCUGGCUCUGCCCAGCGUUGUGCCUGGAUGUGGGAAUGCUUGGCAGUGGGUGUGGAAUUCCAAGGCAAAUUACCUCUUUCCUUCGCAAGAGACCCUGCUGACUUGCCAAACUCAGCAGCAAGGAGGGAAACCGCUGCAGAUGAGGAAGCGUGGAAGUCUCCUGUUUCUUUUCCACAGCUCCAGAGAACACCUCCCACCCAGCUGCACGUGUUAUAUAGCUGGUGCAGCGCUGCGCUAGCGAGGGCAGGGUGCUUGGUGUCACUCGGAACAAAGUCGGCUUGAAAGGAGAGCAUGAAAUAGCCCGACAAUGAGAAAUUUGUGCCUGCCCUUAAUAGAAAGCGCAGCGUCUGAGGACUACGUGUCCCAGCAUGGCACGCAGACGUCAGGGCACGGAGCAGUGCUGCAUGCUGGAACUUGUAGUGCAUGAAAAGACAUCUCGGCACUAAGCAGGGUGUGCGGGGUGCCCGUGCUUCCUUUGCCAGCUUUAGAUGGUUAAUGUAAAACUGACAACACAGCGCUUCUAAGAAACAGAAGACUUGCUUCACCUUUCAUGUACGUGCAACACGCUGCCCUUUGUAUUUAGAUUUCUGCUGUCUGUGUGUGCAGCUGAUUUGUCCGUAAUUGUUUGCUUUCUCCGGAGUCUUUUGAAGCCUGUCUUCAAGCCAGUUCCCUAUAUUAAAAAUAAAUUCUUCCAAGCCACCAAUAAAAUGUCAACUGUGAUUAAAGCCUGA